This 812-nucleotide ribosomal RNA is filed under the name Aeromonas sobria. Its description in RNAcentral is "bacterial SSU rRNA". It matches the Rfam family "Bacterial small subunit ribosomal RNA", at positions 68 to 868 of the family's 1533-position model. The record is from RNAcentral. Lineage: Bacteria; Pseudomonadati; Pseudomonadota; Gammaproteobacteria; Aeromonadales; Aeromonadaceae.
GGCAGCGGGAAAGUAGCUUGCUACUUUUGCCGGCGANCGGCGGACGGGUGAGUAAUGCCUGGGGAUCUGCCCAGUCGAGGGGGAUAACAGUUGGAAACGACUGCUAAUACCGCAUACGCCCUACGGGGGAAAGGAGGGGACCUUCGGGCCUUUCGCGAUUGGAUGAACCCAGGUGGGAUUAGCUANUUGGUGGGGUAAUGGCUCACCAAGGCGACGAUCCCUAGCUGGUCUGANAGGAUGAUCAGCCACACUGGAACUGAGACACGGUCCAGACUCCUACGGGAGGCAGCAGUGGGGAAUAUUGCACAAUGGGGNAAACCCUGAUGCAGCCAUGCCGCGUGUGUGAAGAAGGCCUUCGGGUUGUAAAGCACUUUCAGCGAGGAGGAAAGGUUGGCAGCUAAUAUCUGUCAGCUGUGACGUUACUCGCAGAAGAAGCACCGGCUAACUCCGUGCCAGCAGCCGCGGUAAUACGGAGGGUGCAAGCGUUAAUCGGAAUUACUGGGCGUAAAGCGCACGCAGGCGGUUGGAUAAGUUAGAUGUGAAAGCCCCGGGCUCAACCUGGGAAUUGCAUUUAAAACUGUUCAGCUAGAGUCUUGUAGAGGGGGGUAGAAUUCCAGGUGUAGCGGUGAAAUGCGUAGAGAUCUGGAGGAAUACCGGUGGCGAAGGCGGCCCCCUGGACAAAGACUGACGCUCAGGUGCGAAAGCGUGGGGGAGCAAACAGGAUUANAUACCCUGGUAGUCCANGCCGUAAACGAUGUCGAUUUGGAGGCUGUGUCCUUGAAACGUGGCUUCCGGAGCUACGCGUUAAUCNA